GAGUUUGAUCCUGGCUCAGGAUGAACGCUAGCUGGAGGCUUAAUACAUGCAAGUCGAGCGGGAUUGGUAGCAAUACCAUGAGAGCGGCGCACGGGUGAGUAACGCGUACACGACCUACCUCUGACAGGGGGAUAGCCCUGGGAAACUGGGAUUAAUACCGCAUAUUAUUCUGAUUAAUAAAGGAUUGGAAUGAAAGUUCAGGCGGUCAGAGAUGGGUGUGCGUCUGAUUAGCUAGUUGGUAGGGUAAUGGCCUACCAAGGCGAUGAUCAGUAGGGGGCGUGAGAGCGUGAUCCCCCACACGGGUACUGAGACACGGACCCGACUCCUACGGGAGGCAGCAGUAAGGAUAUUGGACAAUGGCCGCAAGGCUGAUCCAGCCAUCCAGCGUGCAGGAAGAAGGCCCUAUGGGUUGUAAACUGCUUUUAUCAGGGAAGAAACCUUUGGAUUUACUCCGGAGCUGACGGUACCUGAAGAAUAAGCACCGGCUAACU
Molecule: ribosomal RNA, 491 nt
Filed under: uncultured Sphingobacterium sp.
Lineage: Bacteria; Pseudomonadati; Bacteroidota; Sphingobacteriia; Sphingobacteriales; Sphingobacteriaceae
Description: bacterial SSU rRNA
Rfam family: Bacterial small subunit ribosomal RNA
Source: RNAcentral